Heterocephalus glaber (naked mole-rat) is the source of this 1910-nucleotide long non-coding RNA. RefSeq lists it as uncharacterized. The record is from RefSeq and is a predicted model, not a curated record. NCBI's taxonomy places the organism in Eukaryota, Metazoa, Chordata, Mammalia, Rodentia, Bathyergidae.
UUGGCGCGCCCCGAAUUACUCGCCGUCCUCAUUGUCACACCGUGAAAGUGGAUUUUAAUCCUUCCCUCCCCCUUUGCUCUCUUCCCUUUCCUUUCUCUGCUUAAUUUUGCGACCAGCCCCCAACUCGGGGCUCCAGGAAGUCGGUUUCCUUAGCCCUGUCCUUCCUCAGCCUCACCAUCGCUCUGCCUUCUCGGUCUUUCUCUUUCUCACUGCAGCGGGGCUCGGCUCCCGGGAGGUUCCUCCCCUGAAGGAGGGUCGUCAGCUAAUUUCCUUUUCGGGCGAUCCCCGACCGGCGGUGGAAACCCACUGUGGUGGAACAACUGAGCUAAAUCUCCAGCCUGAAUGGAUUUUUUUCUUCAUUCAUUCAUGCAUCCCUGGAUAAAUAUUACUUAUAGGAUGAGGGUAUUUUUCCCAGGCUGGUGAGAAGCCUACUUUUCUUCUGAAAGUGGAAGAAACACAAGAAUGAAAACAGGGCUGGGAAGGAAGCACAUCUACCCACACCUUGAUGGCUGACACCUUCCUAGGCAGGAUUGAACUCAGGACUUCAUGCUUGUCAGGCAGGCGCUGUGCCAGUCUCUGAGCUACAUCCCUGGCCCCAGGUCCCUGACUACCCUAAGGUGAUCAGCUUUGUUCACCACAUGCUCCUGCCAUGAUGUGCUGCCUUGCCACAAGUUUAAAAGCAAUGACCAUGGACUGAAAUGUCUGAAACCAUGAGCCAUGAAAAGAAAUCUUUCCUCCUUCUAAGUUGUUUGUCUCAGGUAUUUUGUCACAGUAGCUCAAAGCUCACUAAGACAAGAUUUGUGUAGGCAUGUCCCUCGCAAAGCCUUUGUGGAAGCUCAGGGUAAUGUGUACUCUUGUUUAAAAUUGUCAUCCUGGCCAUCAACUCUGGCUGCAGGUUAGAAUUACCUGGGUGCUUAUAGACUACCAAUACCCACCCCACUGGUCCAUUCUAGUUCAGCUGGUCAAAAGAGGUAUCUGGGCAUAAGUAUUUUUUACAUGUUUCCUAGGUGAUUCUAAUGCAUACCCUGAUUUUGGAGCAAUAUUCUGUUGCCAUAGGCUCCACACAGCUCAUGGACACAAUGCUGCUUUGUGCUGUGUUUGUAAUACUUCAUCUAGUCAGAGGCAUCAUCCCUGUGAGGUGAAGUCCAAUUGUAGAUUUUUUUAAAAUGUAGAAAAUAGGUGUCUUUGAUUGGAUGAAAUAUAGUCUUGCUUGCCUGUAAGACUAAUCGUCCCUGAUAGCAACAGUCCUGGCUUCCCUAGCUCUGUGUUCUUCUCAGCCUUCAGUGUUUAGCUGGUGGGCGGGGUUCCCCGAGCACUUGCUGAGUGUGCGCCGGCAUCAGGCUGCUCCAUUACUGCCCGUUCUCUGGACUCUUUUCUCCUCUCUGGUUGGACAGAACCUCAUCCUGAGGAGAAAGUAGAUAGUCAAAAAAUUUUUUUGUGGAUUAAUUGACUGAUUAUGAAAGAAGCUAUAGCCCAGUAUCAAGGAAUCAGAGUCAAGUAGAAACUGGAGAACUUGGUGGUGUCGUUGGCUAUGGAUAGAGGGAAAUGGCCACUGAGCCCAUUCCUGGGCUAUGAGAGGUGACAGAACAUCCUUCACCAACAGAAAGAUGGACUCAAGAAAUCAUCCCUGAUGAUGAAGUUUGUCUCUCCGUUACCUGAAGUGGUGGUUUGUCUACUUGGCUUCUUCCGCCUUGUCCUUUGUGUGUAUAAUUUCAAGGAAGGAGAGACUGGGAGUCAUUUUCCCCAAUAUCCCCAGUGCCUGGAGUAGUUCCUGUCUCAUAACAUAUGAGCAAUAAAUAUGGCUUUUCUUUUCUUUUUUUCCAAUACCGGCAAUCAAACUCAGGACCUUGUGCUUGCUAGGCAGAUGUGGCGCCACUGAGCUCCUUAAAUGUGGGUUUUGUUUUCAGGCA